Molecule: ribosomal RNA, 246 nt
Filed under: Triticum aestivum (bread wheat)
Lineage: Eukaryota; Viridiplantae; Streptophyta; Magnoliopsida; Poales; Poaceae
Description: partial small subunit ribosomal RNA
Source: RNAcentral
AUGCCAACCUUCCGUGAAGCUGCAGAAAAACGGGGGCUCAUUGAGGCAGACAACACAUUAGACGAAUGCAUGGCAGAAGCAGAGUUGUUUCGAAUGCCAUCAUCUCUACGAAGGCUAUUCGCGACAAUCCUGGUUUUUGCGAGCCCAGCGACGUCCGUGGUCUAUGGAACAAACACCUCGAGGCAAUGUCAGAGGACUACAGCAGAAACUGCAAAUGCAAGCACACGGUCGAACAAAUGGUGCUGA